AUUAGCUAUAUAUGUGUAUGAAUUCAUGGACAACAUUGAGAAAACAGUUAAUGUAAUUGUUUGAUAAUGUAGCAAUCUGUUCAAUCACUACAAAAAAUUACUUACAAGUUACACCCUAGAGGUUUUAUAAUAGAGGUCAACUCAACCCCACAAAUUACAUCAAAUUACGGAGGUUUGAUUAACCCCUAUAAUAUUAGUAGAAUUUGUGGGGUUAUUACCCUCCGUAAUCCUAAAAAAUAAAAUUCUACGAUAUCGUUGCUCAUUUAAUCCCCAAAUAAAAGAAAGUUCGAUUCUAUUUUCUCUAUCAGUUUUCAUAUGAUAAUUAGGGUUGGAGUAGGAAGAGAUGGAGGCGGCACGGUAGCGAAUCCAUGGUGGCGGAGCUAUCACUGUCUUCAUCCACAAUAGCAGUGGUCGGAGUAGGAAAAGACGGAGGCGGCGGUGGCGAUUGGCGGUAUCAUUGAAAAUCUGCAAUAGAAAUUCAUCUUCGCUGAUUUCGGAGUAAAAGAAUGCUCCAAUAGGCUCGCUGCCCUACGUCCUGCACCAUGGAGAAGCUUCAGCUCUUUCUAAGCCAGGAGAUGCUUAGUGACAGUAAUCCUAGCGAAACCCGCUGAAGUUUCAUGAACUGUUGCAGAUCCUAUCUUGAGUUUGGAUGCUAGCGAUUUGAAGUUUAAGCAAGUUUUUUUAGUGAUUUGAAGUUCAAGCAUAUGAUUUGAAGUUUCUUGUAAUUGUAAUGGUUGAAGUGAAUGACAUUUCGAUUUAGUUUGUAAAACUAUAGUACACUUUAUGAUAUAUUUUUGUAUUGAAAUAUUGUGUUAUUUCUUAUA
Molecule: long non-coding RNA, 824 nt
Organism: Solanum tuberosum (potato)
Lineage: Eukaryota; Viridiplantae; Streptophyta; Magnoliopsida; Solanales; Solanaceae
Exons: 3
Source: RefSeq, a predicted model, not a curated record